This 755-nucleotide non-coding RNA is filed under the name Nesophrosyne sp. 17 GMB-2012. The record is from RNAcentral. Lineage: Eukaryota; Metazoa; Arthropoda; Insecta; Hemiptera; Cicadellidae.
AUAAAGUUUGAUUCUGGCUUUUAAAUUAGUUUAUUCAUUAAUUUAUAUGGUUUGUAUUAUUUAAUUUUUAUUAUUCCAGUAGUCAGUAUUAAUUUUAUAAAAGUGGUUUUGAGUUAGUAAAUGGAUAUUGUUAAAAUAGAUUAAUAUUUGUGCCAGCAUUCGCGGUUACACAAUUUAUUUGAAUUAAUUAAAUAAUUUUUUAAUUUAAUUUUUAAAUGGGUUAUACAUAUAUUAUUUAGGUGGAAUUUAUGAUUUUAUUAAAAUCUCUUAAUUGUUAUUUUGAGAUCUUUUUAUUAAUGACUAGGAUUAGAUACCCUAUUAUUUUCUUGGUAAAAAUUUUUUAGAAUGGUAAUAGCUACGAUCUUUGANGCUCAAAGAAUUUGGCGGUAAAAUAUCUUUUUAGAGGAAUCUGUAUAUUAAUUGAUAUUCCACAAUAGUAAGCAACCUUAUAUGUUAUUUGUAUAUCGCUAUAUUAUGGAGUAUUAUUAGAGCAUUUUAUUCUCUUUAACUAAUUUGGAAUUAUGUUAGGUCAAGGUGCAGUUUUUAUAACGGUUUAUAUGGAUUACUUUUGUUAUAAGUUUUAGGAUUUUAAUUUUNUAUUAGUUUAUUUAAAUAAGGAUUUAAUAGUAAGUUGAGUUAAUUAACUUUUCUGAAUAUUUGCUAUGUUUUAUGUACAUAUCGCCCGUCACUCCUAAUUAACUUAGGAUAAGUCGUAACAAAGUAACUUCACCGGAAGGUGAAGUUAGAAUGAAAUA